Molecule: transfer RNA, 72 nt
Filed under: Dipodomys ordii (Ord's kangaroo rat)
Lineage: Eukaryota; Metazoa; Chordata; Mammalia; Rodentia; Heteromyidae
Rfam family: tRNA
About the family: Transfer RNA (tRNA) molecules are approximately 80 nucleotides in length. Their secondary structure includes four short double-helical elements and three loops (D, anti-codon, and T loops).
Source: Rfam by way of RNAcentral
AGAGGCAUGGCUCAGUAAUAGAGCACUUGCCUGUCAAACAUGAGUCCCUGAGUUCAAACCCCAGUGCCACAA